RNAcentral lists this ribosomal RNA (776 nucleotides) under uncultured Neocallimastigales. RNAcentral's name for it is "partial large subunit ribosomal RNA". It matches the Rfam family "Eukaryotic large subunit ribosomal RNA", at positions 22 to 635 of the family's 3401-position model. The record is from RNAcentral. Lineage: Eukaryota; Fungi; Neocallimastigomycota; Neocallimastigomycetes; Neocallimastigales.
UGUACACGCUGUGACUAGCAUAUCAAUAAGCGGAGGAAAAGAAACUAACAAGGAUUCCCCUAGUAACGGCGAGUGAAGCGGGAAGAGCUCAAAUUUGAAAUCUUAAAGGGUUUCCCUUUACGAAUUGUAGUUUAAAGAAGUGUUUUCUGUUGAGGUUUUGGUAAAAGUUCUUUGGAAUAGGACAUCAUAGAGGGUGAGAAUCCCGUAUUUGACCUUUACUUUCAACUUUGUGAUACACUUUCCAAAGAGUCGGAUUGUUUGGGAAUGCAGUCCAAGAUGGGUGGUAAAUUUCAUCUAAAGCUAAAUAUUGGCGAGAGACCGAUAGCGAACAAGUACCGUGAGGGAAAGAUGAAAAGAACUUUGAAAAGAGAGUUAAACAGUACGUGAAAUUGUCAAAAGGGAAGCGUUUGACACCAGUGUUGUUUUUCUGAAAAUCAAUUAAUGAACUGUUUAUGCUAAGCUGUUUAGACUUUAUCAGCUAUCUGUUUAGUUUUGAGCUUUUCUUUAAUGCACUUUUCAGUUAACAAGUCAACAUCAAUUUCUUUUGCUGUAAAAAAGCUUGAGGAAGGUGGCUUGAGAUUCGUCUUAAGUGUUUAUAGCCUCUUGCCUAUGCAGUCGGAGAGAUUGAGGUCUGCAGCGUAGAUCCUUCGGGGCUAAAUGCAUUUGUGCUAAGUUAUAGCAUUUUAUAGACAACUUGUUGACUAUGAUUUGUCUUGUAGCUUACUCGCUUAUGUUAUUUUACCUACGCUUAGGAUGUUGAAGAUGUAGCACAUCAU